AGAACGAGACGACAUGGCAUGGUAUUGACUUGGCUCAUCUCUCAUCCACAGCAAACUUCACAAGUGCCUGAGGUGAGCCGAGCCAAUAUCACUUCAUGUCAUCUAGCGU
This 109-nucleotide microRNA precursor is filed under the name Sorghum bicolor (sorghum). The record is from RNAcentral. Lineage: Eukaryota; Viridiplantae; Streptophyta; Magnoliopsida; Poales; Poaceae.